AGCGAACGCUGGCGGCAGGCUUAACACAUGCAAGUCGAACGGGCGUAGCAAUACGUCAGUGGCAGACGGGUGAGUAACGCGUGGGAACGUACCUUUUGGUUCGGAACAACCCAGGGAAACUUGGGCUAAUACCGGAUAAGCCCUUACGGGGAAAGAUUUAUCGCCAAAAGAUCGGCCCGCGUCUGAUUAGCUAGUUGGUGAGGUAACGGCUCACCAAGGCGACGAUCAGUAGCUGGUCUGAGAGGANGAUCAGCCACAUUGGGACUGAGACACGGCCCAAACUCCUACGGGAGGCAGCAGUGGGGAAUAUUGGACAAUGGGCGCAAGCCUGAUCCAGCCAUGCCGCGUGAGUGAUGAAGGCCCUAGGGUUGUAAAGCUCUUUUGUGCGGGAAGAUAAUGACGGUACCGCAAGAAUAAGCCCCGGCUAACUUCGUGCCAGCCGCCGCAGU
This 449-nucleotide ribosomal RNA is filed under the name uncultured bacterium. RNAcentral describes it as "bacterial SSU rRNA". It matches the Rfam family "Bacterial small subunit ribosomal RNA", at positions 29 to 521 of the family's 1533-position model. The record is from RNAcentral.